RNAcentral lists this long non-coding RNA (778 nucleotides) under Lupinus angustifolius (narrow-leaved blue lupine). RNAcentral describes it as "long non-coding RNA (LANG_LNC002564)". The record is from RNAcentral. Lineage: Eukaryota; Viridiplantae; Streptophyta; Magnoliopsida; Fabales; Fabaceae.
UCUUCUUAAUUGCAACUUUCUCAUCAGCCUCCCUAUUGAUGGAAGAGCACACUGCACCGUACAAUCCUCGACUGAUUGGCUUGAUUGGAACAUGCUUGGUAUCAACAUUGUUUGCCAUAUUGUGUAAUAAUGCUUACCCUUUGGCUUAAUCCUGCUGGGAGGCUCAAUUAAAGUUGCCAUUUUCUGUAACAGGCGUUCAACCAUUUGUUAAAGCUGGUUGUAGAAGAAUAUCAGUAUAAUGAGGGAAUUCACUUGACAACAAGGUAUGGCAGUGCACAACAUCUUUCAUUACAGAAUCUUCUUUCUCCCUUGUUGAUCUCAUACCUCAAAGACAAAGAAAUUCACAACUGAUGCAGCUUCAAGCAGAGGUUCUGUUAGACCUUAAUCAAUUUCUAUAGAGUGGAUCAUAUCAUUGCCACUCUUAUCAUCAUGUAAUAAUAUAAUACUAAUAUGCUAUCCCUCUAUUUUAUCCAGAUCGGGAUUCAGAACAAAGAGGAAGGGCAUCUAAGGUUAUGCUACAAGAGCAGGGAAAGCAACAAGUAUCAGCAUUAUUGAAUAGAGUGGAACUAAACAAGUGUUGGUAUUUGAUCUAUGUAUUUUGCAUCAACUCGAGCCUUAGCCAACACCUUAUUCAUACAGUUAUUCUGUCUUGCAUCUCAAGCUCCUCAAUCUUUAACAACUAUGAUGUUGUAUGCCUUAAUGUAAUUAAAUAUACUUUGUAACCAAUAAAUCUUACUCAUGAUUUAAUGUAGUUACAGUGAAGUCCCCAACAGGGAGG